RNAcentral lists this ribosomal RNA (465 nucleotides) under uncultured bacterium. RNAcentral's name for it is "partial 16S ribosomal RNA". It matches the Rfam family "Bacterial small subunit ribosomal RNA", at positions 28 to 507 of the family's 1533-position model. The record is from RNAcentral.
GACGAACGCUGGCGGCGUGCUUAACACAUGCAAGUCGAACGGAAAGGCCCUGCUUGCAUGGUACUCGAGUGGCGAACUGGUGAGUAACACGUGGGUGAUCUGCCCUGCACUUUGGGGUAAGCCUUGGAAACUGGGUCUAAUACCGGAUAGGAGCCAUUUUUUGUGUGAUGGUUGGAAAGUUUUUUCGGUGUAGGAUGAGCUCGCGGCCUAUCGGCUUGUUGGUGGGGUAAUGGCCUACCAAGGCGGCGACGGGUAGCCGGCCUGAGAGGGUGGACGGCCACAUUGGGACUGAGAUAAGGCCCAGACUCCUAAGGGAGGACGAAGUGGGGAAUAUUGCACAAUGGGCGCAAGCCUGAUGAAGCGACGCCGCGUGGGGGAUGACGGCCUUGGGGUUGUAAACUCGUUUCGCUAGGGACGCAGCUUUUUGUGACGGUACCUAGAUAAGAAGCACCGGCUAACUACGUG